Molecule: ribosomal RNA, 253 nt
Filed under: uncultured bacterium
Lineage: Bacteria
Description: partial 16S ribosomal RNA
Rfam family: Bacterial small subunit ribosomal RNA
Source: RNAcentral
UACGUAGGGUGCGAGCGUUAAUCGGAAUUACUGGGCGUAAAGGGCGUGCAGGCGGUCUGUUAAGUGCAGGGUGAAAGCUCCCGGCUCAACUGGGAGAGGUCCUUGCAUACUGGCGGACUUGAGGGGGGUAGAGGAAAGUGGAAUUCCCGGUGUAGUGGUGAUAUGCGUAGAUAUCGGGAGGAACACCUGUGGCGAAGGCGGCUUUCUGGGCCCUACCUGACGCUGAGACGCGAAAGCGUGGGGAGCGAACCGG